UUUGGAUUCCGAUGAAGAAUGGUGAUCAGUACGUCUUGAGCACGUGUGAACAGCCAUAUCUUCUUGAUCAGGUGCUUUCUGGCUAUCGGGAGGUCUCCAGGAAGUUCACCUUUGAUACAGAAAUUAAACCAGGAGCAAUUCCAGGUCUUCCUGGUCGGGUGUUUAGUUCAAGAAUUCCAGAGUGGACGUCAAAUGUUCUGUACUACAAGGAGGCUGAAUACUUACGUGUACAAUAUGCUGUCAACCAUGAAGUUCGUGGAUCUAUUGCUUUACCUGUCUUUGAGGAUGAUGCCUGUGAAACUCCAUGUUGUGCAGUAUUAGAACUCGUUACAAUGAAGGAGAAACGUAAUUUUGAUUUGGAAAUGGAUCAUGUUUGCCAGGCUCUCCAGGCUGUGAAUUUAAGGAGUACCGCGCCUCCUCGACUUCAUUCUCAGAAUCUCUCAAACAACCAAAAGGAUGCUUUAGCUGAGAUAACAGAUGUUCUGCGAGCAGUCUGCCAUGCACAUAAGCUGCCUCUUGCUCUGACAUGGAUUCCCUGUAAUGUCACUGAAGGAGAAGGAGAUGAACCCAUAAGAGUGCGUGCUAGAGGAUGUAAUACAAGUUUAAAUGAAAAAUGUGUAUUAUGUGUUGAGGAUACAGCUUGUUAUGUGAG
This 652-nucleotide unclassified non-coding RNA is filed under the name Hevea brasiliensis (rubber tree). Lineage: Eukaryota; Viridiplantae; Streptophyta; Magnoliopsida; Malpighiales; Euphorbiaceae. The record is from RNAcentral.